GCCUUUAAAUACCACUCCUGGAGGCGGCACAGCAGCAGGGCAGAGCCGGCAGAGCUUCGAUGAAAGCAAAGACAAGCUCCAGCACUGCAGCCAUGUCCACAUCCCUGCGGGUGAGCCCCUCGGUCCAUGGGUACCGCUUCGACACCGCGCUGCGCAAGAAAGCCGCGGCCAACAUCUUCGAGAGCAUCAACGAGGCGUCCCUGCAGAAACUCUUCAAAAACUCCGGCGACAAAAAGGCGGAGGAGAGAGCCAAGAUAAUCCUCGCCACCGACCAGGACAUGGAGGAAAAAACGAGAGCGCUGAUGGCACUAAAGCAGAGGAGGAAAGACAAACUGCUGCAGUUCCUGACGUUUCGGAAAUACUCCAUUAAAGUUCACUGAGCUGGCAGAUGGAGAAGGUUUUGUGGCGGGACUGUUUGAGAGCUCCUAGCACGCUCAGCAUGCUCGGCUGCCCCGUGGGCCUGGGGAGCUGAGAGUCCAUGCAGGGGGCUUCAGCCCCACUGGAAACCAUGAGCCAACAGCAGCAUCACUGCGGGCAGCAGCAUUGGUGCCCAGGGCAGCACUGGUGUGACCAGCAGCACUGGUGUGACCAGCAGCAUCAGUGCCCAUGGCACAUUGGUGUGGACAGCAGCAUCAGUGCCCAUGGCAGCACUGGUGUGACCAGCAGCACUGGUGUGACCAGCAGGACCAGUGGCCACAGCAGCUCUGGUGUGACCAGCAGCUCUGGUGUGGCCAGCAGGACCAGUGCCCACACACAUCAGUGUGGACAGCAGCCUGGUGGCCAGAGGCUCUCAGAGAGAGAGAGCAGCUCCCAGCUGGAGGCAGAUUUGCUCCUCUGCGCAGCCAUGGGACUGAGCUGGGGGGAACCCCCACACCCAGGACCUCCUGAUGGACUUGGUGCUCACAGAUGUGAGCCGGGUGCUUUGCCUCUUCAGCCUGAGCCCCGCUGCUGGGGCUGGUGGGGGGGGCUCUGGAGCCCUCCCAGCUGCUGGUCAGGGUCAGAAUCUGUGAAAUGCCCCCAAAGGCAGCGUGUGGUGCAGCGAGUUCAGCCGUCCGGGAACGCAUUAACUCUGCACAGCUGUGCCUUUCCUUGCCAAGCUCUGUGUGUGCAGGAAAAGUCGUUUGCACAGAAGCAAUAAUAAUGACAGAUUUCCCUGAAUUUACUGUGAAGUUCCCUAAUAUUAUGUUCACUUACCACUAACACUAAAAAUCUAAAUAUAAUAACUACAGUUCUUCUCUGUGUAGGUGACAGCCACUAUUAGAUGAGUACUUACUUCAUGGCAAUAUUUUAUGACAAUGUUAAUAUUAUAUUGGCUAUAAUUUAUUGCAUACAGUGAUGUGAAAACUAAUAAAUUAUGAAGUAAAUCUAAAUUACCUUGUCUGAAAUGCUCAGUUCUCC
RNAcentral lists this long non-coding RNA (1398 nucleotides) under Camarhynchus parvulus. RNAcentral describes it as "lncRNA (ENSCPVG00000016503.2)". Lineage: Eukaryota; Metazoa; Chordata; Aves; Passeriformes; Thraupidae. The record is from RNAcentral.